Long non-coding RNA from Arachis duranensis, 401 nucleotides. RefSeq lists it as uncharacterized. The transcript has 3 exons. The record is from RefSeq and is a predicted model, not a curated record. NCBI's taxonomy places the organism in Eukaryota, Viridiplantae, Streptophyta, Magnoliopsida, Fabales, Fabaceae.
UCUCAACGCUGAUGUGCCUAUAUAUAUAUAUUUUUGGCAGGGUUGACAUAGUCACAAGUUGAUUCUGAUGUUGUCGAUCCAUCUUUUGAGCCACUAAUACUAGUAGAAGAUUCCACUAUAUAGCUUGUAAGAUCAACCAUCCGGUUCUCGAAGUUGUCUUCUGCACUUGUUGAAGCUGUUAGCUCUCCCUCACUUGGAAGAUUCCUCAGCUAUGUGUCAACUACUAUGGUUGUAAAGCCUGGCCCUGUACUGGACUUCCUUUGUGAGAAUCAGAAUGUGAAGCAUCCAGAUUUUAUUGAUUGGACCAAGGCAAAAAGUGUGCUGAAAAACCUCAGAAUCAAGGUUAAUAAUCUUGAGUUCAAAAUCAGUGGACUCAGUAACAAUACUUGCAGGACUCAGAA